Molecule: non-coding RNA, 103 nt
Organism: Arvicanthis niloticus (Nile rat)
Lineage: Eukaryota; Metazoa; Chordata; Mammalia; Rodentia; Muridae
Source: RefSeq, a predicted model, not a curated record
GUGUUCACUUCGGCAGCACAGAUACUAAAACUGGAAUGAUACGGAGAAGAUUAGCAUGGCCCCUGCGCAAGGAUGAAGAAAAAAAAAGACUUAAGCACUCUGU